Molecule: long non-coding RNA, 284 nt
Filed under: Elaeis guineensis (African oil palm)
Lineage: Eukaryota; Viridiplantae; Streptophyta; Magnoliopsida; Arecales; Arecaceae
Description: long non-coding RNA (EGUI_LNC003841)
Source: RNAcentral
GAAGCAAAACUCUACUUACUGAGCUAGUGUAGCUCAUAUUCUUUUUGUUUUCUUUUCCAUGUACAGAGAAAUAAGGCUAGGACCGAAGAAAAGGGAAUCCAGGCUUGGGGAUCAGCAAAGCAAGCUUGGAAAUUUUGCACUAGGAAUUCAGUUUAUGUUUAUGGAUUGUAGUCAUUAUGAAUUUUAAGACUUAGAUUAUUUCAUCUUUGGAUUUAGAUGCUCUGAACCAGUUUUGGUUUAAUUAAAUAAUUGAAUUGAACUUUAUUAUUACAUUUAUUUGUGAU